UACGGAAGGCAGCAGUGGGGAAUAUUGCACAAUGGGCGCAAGCCUGAUGCAGCCAUGCCGCGUGUAUGAAGAAGGCCUUCGGGUUGUAAAGUACUUUCAGCGGGGAGGAAGGCGAUGCGGUUAAUAACCGCGUCGAUUGACGUUACCCGCAGAAGAAGCACCGGCUAACUCCGUGCCAGCAGCCGCGGUAAUACGGAGGGUGCAAGCGUUAAUCGGAAUUACUGGGCGUAAAGCGCACGCAGGCGGUCUGUUUAAGUCAGAUGUGAAAUCCCCCGGGCUUAACCUGGGAACUGCAUUUUGAAACUGGCAGGCUUGAGUCUUGUAGAGGGGGUAGAAUUCCAGGUGUAGCGGUGAAAUGCGUAGAGAUCUGGAGGAAUCCGGUGGCGAAGGCGGCCCCUGGGACAAAGACUGACGCUCAGGUGCGAAAGCGUGGGGAGCAAACGAGGAUUAGGAUACC
RNAcentral lists this ribosomal RNA (457 nucleotides) under uncultured bacterium. Its description in RNAcentral is "bacterial SSU rRNA". It matches the Rfam family "Bacterial small subunit ribosomal RNA", at positions 340 to 786 of the family's 1533-position model. The record is from RNAcentral.